UCUUGACUAGAUAUAGAUAACUUGCUACAGCUCACCAUACACUUUUAUGUUAUGGUCUCUUACCUUAAACCUCAUUAAUACAACCUCUGCUAUCUUCCAAAUGUUCUUCUGCAGCUUCCUCACCUCUCAGCCUUCACAGAAUUGAAAAGAAACAGGAUCUUACUCUUGAUUGGGCUUUGACUUGAAGGAAUGUUGUGGCUGAUUUGAACUAUCCAGACAACUAAAACUUUCUCCAUAUCAGCAAUAAGGAUUUACAACAGUCAAUCAAGGAAGUCAUGGGGAAGAUUGUGAAUAUUGCCAAAAAAAAAAAGUUGGGAGGGAAGAGUUUAAGAUACAGAUAUUGGAGAAAUUCAAGAGCCAACAGAAACCACAUCAGAGGAAUUAACAGAAGAUGACUUGAUGGAGAUGAAUGCUUCCAAACAGUGCCAGAUGAUAAGAGGUAGAAGAAGCAGUGCCAGAAAACAAGCUGAUAUUAGGCAAUCUGGCAGAAGUGUUGUUCCAGUUAUUCAAGACUGCUUUGACUUCUCCUGACAUGGAUGCCUACUAUAACACAGACACUGAAAAUAAAGCAAACAACAGAAGACGAAUUGGUACUGUACAGAAACAUUUUUAGAGAGCUGAAAAAGCAAAACCGACAAAUUAGGAUGAACUUUCAUAAAGCUAUAUUGAGUGCGCCUACCUUUUCGGCCUCCCCUUCUACCUUCUGGUUCUCUUCCACCCUUGAGAUUUGCAAGACCAACCCCUUCUCUUCCUCCUUCUCCUCAGCCUACUCAACAUGAAGAAGAUAAGAAUGAAGACCUGUAUCAUGAUCCACCUCCACUUAAUGCAUGGCAAAUAUAUUUUCUUCCUAUGAUUUGCUUAA
Long non-coding RNA from Sapajus apella (tufted capuchin), 862 nucleotides. RefSeq lists it as uncharacterized. Lineage: Eukaryota; Metazoa; Chordata; Mammalia; Primates; Cebidae. The transcript is spliced from 2 exons. The record is from RefSeq and is a predicted model, not a curated record.